Brachypodium distachyon (stiff brome) is the source of this 884-nucleotide long non-coding RNA. RefSeq lists it as uncharacterized. The transcript has 2 exons. NCBI's taxonomy places the organism in Eukaryota, Viridiplantae, Streptophyta, Magnoliopsida, Poales, Poaceae. The record is from RefSeq and is a predicted model, not a curated record.
CCCUAAUCCCCACCCCUUCCCUAACUCUCUCCCACUGCCGCCGCCACCCUCAUUUCUCUCUCUCGAACUCCCUCUCCCACUGCUCUCUCUUCCCCGUCUCUCUUCUGCUCGUCCCCACCGCGAGCCCCGACGCCGGCGCCGGCCAAUCGCCCCCUCCACAUGAGCCCAUCCCUCUCCCCCACGAACUCUCCUCUCCCCCAAACUCUCUCCUCCUUCCUUAUCUCUCCCCUAAACUCUCUCCUCCUUAUCUGCAUCAACCGUCGGCGUCAUGGACGAUGAGGAGGAGCUGUGCGCCCGUCCUCCCUGCCUCGCCGGUGAAGGACGCCUCUGGAUCUGGCCGCGGGCGACUCCGGCCGACCCCUGGAGCAGCGGUGGAGCGUGGCGCCUGGAGGAGCAGAAGUCAGCCCCUACGCAUACCAGAUCUGAGCAGAUCGGAAGCCACCGGCCUUCUCCCUCUUAAGGUGGUAGCCGCCGCCGUGGCCGGCGACGAGGUGGGCGCCGCCAUGGGGAGCCAACUCCCCGCCCCACCCCGCAUCGGAGGAAGAUGGCGCGGCCUGGUGCGUGCGGCGGCUCCAAAUCCACCGGGAUCUAGCGGUUUCGGUGAAUCCAUGGGACGAUGUUAUUUUUAUUUUUAAUUGUGUUUCUCUGUUGUGAAUGCAUGGGAUGUAAUAUUUGAUUGCUAAUUGUGUUCUGUUGAGACUGCAUGCAAUGUAAUUUUUGAUUGCUAAUUGUGUUCUGUUGUGCCCGCAUGCAAGGUAAUUUUUGGUUGCUAAUUGUGUUCAGCUGUGACUGCAUAUGCGACGAUUUUUAGUUUCUGCUGUAUGCAAUUGGGAAAAAAAAUCAUGGCUAGCAUAAUUAUAUGCUAGCCGUGAGAUUUUUUUUAA